GACUUUGUUCAAUGGGCUGGAGGAGAAUGUCCAUAGAAACUGCAUUCUCUUUUUAUAUUAUUUUAGAUAAACACUGUUUUUUGUCUUUUUAUAGAAAUUGGUUGCUUUGAUCGUGCAGGCUUCAGUUUUAUUGAUGAACCGGUAGUCUGUCGCAUCUGCAUGGUUGCUUGAGAAUUAAUUGUAUCAUGGUUUUUUGCAAGUGUAGUUCGGUUGCUAUCCUCUGAAGACUACUUCCACCCACACUCAAGAGUGCAUCCAAGACAUUCCUACUUGGAUGAAACAGGCUGACGUCAUUUUUAUGUGUCUUAUACCAAUUAUUGAAACGUCCUCUCUCUUUACGCUUUUGCUAUUUUUAGAUUCCCUCUUCACGCGAAGAAGCCUUAAAGAAAAAUUAUCGCAUGGUUCCAUCUUUCUCCAGGAAAAAAUACUUUCGUAUUUAUAAUUUCUACGUAUUGCAUGUAAAUGUUUUUAUGAAGAUAUUAACAGUUUGGUAAUAAUAUGUCGAGGUAUGAAUACGUCGGCGCAGCAAAGCAAAUCAUCUCAAGUUGUUAUAUGAAGUGUGGGCUCGAAAGUCAAUGAAACCCACCAGGAACACAACUGCAAGAACAAAACUGCAAGCAAAAAACCUUAAUUGAUCGAGGAACAAAAUUUUUUUCUCUGUCUCUUUCGUUCAUCCACCAUGUCUGUGUGAAGGUGUUAGUUAAGAUGAGGUGGUUGGCUUACUUGUAGAAGCCCAGACCACCCCUGUGUCAGACCAACUAACACCUAACCAUGAAGGCAAAGAGAUGAAAAAGACUUUUAACUACAUCGAAGUGAAGGUGUUAGUGGAGAUGGGGUGGUCCGCUUAAGAUGUCAAGGAAAUAAAUCCUAUUCUUGACCCAAAAAAUGAAUCAGAUGCCCAGACCACCCCGGUGUCAAACCAACUAACACCUAACCAUCAAAAUGAUCAAUGGAUGGGUGCACAUGAGUGAAGUGAAGAAUCAAUGUGUAACUAUUAUUGUAGCGUCAGGGAAACUGGUCAUUUACUAUGUAUUGCUGAUUUUCAUGAUAUGGAAUCAUGAAAAUACACAAAUCAUAAAGAUUUUGCAAAUUCCUUUAUAAUAUGAAUUAGGUUAAUUUGGCAACGUUAUCCUUCAUUCAGAUGAGCAGUUGUUUCAAACAUUGAAGACUACUAAUAGAAAAGGCUAAACAGCAAAAAAGGACUCCGCUGUGAAAAUAAUUCCCAUUGAAUGUGAAGAAAAGUACAUAGUUCUCUCUCUCGAGAAAACAAUAGUGGGUUGAAAUUAGAAAAAAAAACAAAUAAAAAAUGGAAUGUUUGCAUAGCAGUCAAACAAAAACUAAGACACGCAUAUCAUGAAAAAAGUCUAAGUUUGUACAAAGGACAUCUGUACAACUAUAAUUUUUGAGGACAAAAAUCAAUUGUAGACUGCUUUUUUUCAACAGAAGCAAAUUUUCUUCGAAAAGUUUCACUUCACUGUGCUAUGAGAUGUAAGAUGAAGAUCGUCUUCGUGGAUUAUUUUUACCAGAAGAAAGAAAAAAAUAGUUACUAUGAAACAGGCCACAGGUUUCAUUCACCAAUGUAACAUUCUAGAAUUGAAAUUGGCUGAAACUAAACGUUCAGGAAAACAUUUGUCGUCAAAAUUAAACUCAAUGUGGAAGUAUGUUCUUUAAUUGGCAACAUUUUUUGGAAUCUCUCUUUGCUUGGGCUCAUAUAAAAAUUUCCUGAAGGAGGUUGAGAAUCGACUUAAUAUUAUCAAAAAAUGGAGUCGAGUGAUUUUCAAGUUGAACACUUUCAAAAAUGGCUCCGUGAGACUGACGAGUCUCAUUUCUAGUCGCUCAAUUGAGAUGUUAGUAUGUGCUCAGUAACUUACUUUAGAACUAUGCUCGACAUAUAUGGCUAUAUCACUGAACAUUACUCAAAUAAUCAAUGUCUAAGCAGGAAAUUGUCCUUUAAGCUACUUGCAUGCGCGUGUCGUUCGUCAGUAAAAAGCUAAAAAUAAAUUCAACCACAAGUAGUAAUCGAUACACCGCCAGCCUUAAAGUUAUAUAAUUGCAAAUUUUCAAUACUUUUAAAAGGGUUUUCUUACACGAUAACUCUUGCAGCUUUGAGGUUGGUAAAAUUUCGAUUUUUCAUUUCAUCUCAUUCGAGUAUAAAUUCUGAAUUAUCUUUUUGAAGAGUCUUAAAUAUCAUUUAAAGAUUUUAAAUAUAAUUGAAACAAAA
Molecule: long non-coding RNA, 2221 nt
Organism: Xenia sp. Carnegie-2017
Lineage: Eukaryota; Metazoa; Cnidaria; Anthozoa; Malacalcyonacea; Xeniidae
Exons: 2
Source: RefSeq, a predicted model, not a curated record